RNAcentral lists this ribosomal RNA (484 nucleotides) under uncultured bacterium. Its description in RNAcentral is "partial 16S ribosomal RNA". It matches the Rfam family "Bacterial small subunit ribosomal RNA", at positions 30 to 507 of the family's 1533-position model. The record is from RNAcentral.
AUUGAACGCUAGCGGGAUGCUUUACACAUGCAAGUCGAACGGCAGCGCGGACUUCGGUCUGGCGGCGAGUGGCGAACGGGUGAGUAAUGUAUCGGAACGUGCCCAGUAGCGGGGGAUAACUACGCGAAAGCGUAGCUAAUACCGCAUACGCCCUACGGGGGAAAGCAGGGGAUCGUAAGACCUUGCACUAUUGGAGCGGCCGAUAUCGGAUUAGCUAGUUGGUGAGGUAACGGCUCACCAAGGCGACGAUCCGUAGCUGGUUUGAGAGGACGACCAGCCACACUGGGACUGAGACACGGCCCAGACUCCUACGGGAGGCAGCAGUGGGGAAUUUUGGACAAUGGGGGCAACCCUGAUCCAGCCAUCCCGCGUGUGCGUUGAAGGCCUUCGGGUUGUAAAGCACUUUUGGCAGGAAAGAAACGUCGCGGGCUAAUACCCCGUGGAACUGACGGUACCUGCAGAAUAAGCACCGGCUAACUACGUG